This 6642-nucleotide long non-coding RNA is filed under the name Homo sapiens (human). RNAcentral's name for it is "non-protein coding lnc-EIF2AK3-1:9". The record is from RNAcentral. Lineage: Eukaryota; Metazoa; Chordata; Mammalia; Primates; Hominidae.
GCUCUGUGAAGUACCAUUAGCCGCGGGAAUAUCAGUAUGGUGACUCCUUACCCUGGGGAAGUGUACUUAGGCCACGGCUAGUGAGAACGUGGCCAUGGACAAGAAUUCCAAGUAGUGGCACUUCUGUAGACGACGCGGCCCUUUUGGGGUUACUACAGCCCAGGAAACUCACAUGCGACACGGCGCCAGCUGAAGUCCAUCUAGACCCCCGCAGACCCAAGGUCACAAGUUGAGAACCCCCUGCCGUGGACAUUCUUCUGCACCUAGUGGUGAAGCAGGUGGAGCUGCACCUUGCUCCGCCCAUUUGGAGACUGGUUCUGCACAUAUGAGUGUGCCCUGCAGCGAUCCUGCAAUCCUUCGUGACUAACAAGGACUUUCUGUGAAAACAGAUUUAUCUUUUCUUCUCUACCUUUAAGGUUUCUUGCUGUUGAGAAUAGUUAAGGGACGAGGAAUUCUUAUUGCCCCCAUUUUACAGGCAAAGAAACUAAUGCUGACCCCAACCUUACCGACCACUUGGAGGUCCCUAAAAACACAUGACCUUUGUGUUUCUCGGCUGUUAGUGGAAUCCUUUCUGUCUGCUCAUGAACUCAUCUUCAAACGCAUUCCAGGCCUUCAGAACUCUUCCGUGAGCGCAAGUCACUGAGAAAUAUACCUCUUACCUAAGUAGACCUGCCUGAAGACCUGCCUUGACCUACAGCAUUCCUGAGAUGACUGUGCCAAUCAAGUCCCUUUGGAGCCCUGGUUUUCUCAUAUUCAUGGUGUUGUGUAUUCAGGGCUUAUUAAGGCAUGUUCAACAAUUGCAACAAAUAUACCACUCUGGUGUGGGAUGUUGAUAGUGGAGGUUGCUGGAGAAAAGAAGUCUGUGGAAAAUCUUUGCACUUUCAACUCUAUUUUACUAUAAACCUAAAACUGCUCUAAAAAUAAAGUCUAUUUAAAAAAUUUUGAAGAGUCAUUUAGAACAUCGACUUUGGGCCAGGUGCAGUGGCUCACGCCUGUAUUCCCAGCACUUUGGGAGGCCAAGGUGGGAAAAUCAGCUUGAGUCCAGGAGUUGAAGACCAGCCUGGGCAACACAGCAAGACCCCGUCUCUAUGAAAGAUAAAAAAAAAUUAGCCGAGCAUGGUGGUGCACACCUGUAGUCCCAGCUACUCAAGAGGCCGAGGCGGGAGGAUGGCUUGAGCCCAGGAAUUCAAGGCUGCAGAGAACUAUGACUGGGCCACUGCACUGCAGCCUAGGAGACAGAGUGAGACUUUGUUACCUAAAAAGAAAAAAAAAACACACAAAACUUUGACAGAUAUUAUUAUGAUUGUAUCAGCUUUCUUUCUUUUCUUUUCUUUUCUUUCUUUCUUUUUUUUUUUUUUUUUUUUGAGACAGGGUCUCCCUCUGUCGCCCAGGGUGGAGUGCAGUGGUGUGGUCUCAGCUCACUGCAACCUCCACCUCCUGGAUUCAAGCCAUUCUCCUGCCUUACCCUCCCGAGUAGCUGGGAUUACAGGGUGUGUGCCACAAUGCUCGGGUAAUUUUUGUAUUUUUGGUAAAGAUGGAGUUUCACCAUGUGGGCCAGGCUGGUCUUGAACUCCUGACCUCAGGUGAUCCACCCACCUCAGCCUCCCAAAGUGCUGGGAUUACAGGCAUGAGCCACCAUGUCUGGCUUGCAUCAGCUUUCUUUUUGCUGUUGUUUACAUGUACAUCUUUUUGCAAAUACACCAUUAAGAUAUGUCUUGUCUUUUAUCCAGUCUGACAAGUUUUGACUUUUAAGAGGAGUACUUACUCCAUGUAUGUUUAAUGUAAUUACUGAUACAUUAGGGUUUUAAAUCUACAUAUGGCUGGGUGCAAUGGCUCACAUCCGUAAUCCUAAAACUUUGGGAGGCCAUGGCAGGUGGAUUGCUUGGGCCCAGGAGUUCGAGAACAGCCUGGACAACAUGGUGAAACCACGUCUCUAGUAAAAAUACAAAAAUUAGCUGGGCAUGUUGAUGCAUGCCUGUAGUUACAGCUACUUGGGGCGGGGGGUGCUGAGGCAGGAAGAUCACCUGAGCAUUGGGAGGUUGAGGCUACAGUGAACCGUGAUCAUGCCACUACACUCCAGCCUGGGUGACACAGUGAGACCCUAUCUCAAACAACAACAGCAAAACUACAGCUAACUAUUCUUUUUGUCUUAUCCCACCUGCUCUUUUGUCCUUUUUUUUCUCCUUUCUUGUCUGCUUUGGUAAAAUUACAUUUUAUUAUUAUUUCAUUGUUCCACUCUACUAGCUUGGUAGUUAUACAGUCUUUAUAAUUUUUUCUUUAAUUUUAUUUAUUAAAAAUAUAGAGACAGGGGUCUCACUAUGUGGUUCAGGCUGGUCUUCAACUUGGGGACUCAAGUGAUCCUCCCACCUCCACCUCCGAAAGUGCUGGGAUUACAGGAGUGAGCCACCGUAUCCAGUCAAUCUUUAUAAUUCUUUAAGUGAUUACCCUAGAAUUACAACAUGCAUUCCUAUUCCUGACUGGUUACAGUAUAAUAUAAAUUAGUACUCUACUUUGCCAGACAACACAAAGAUCUUCGCUACUUUAACUACUGCCACCUUUUGUGUUGUAAUUAUAUAUAUAUUUCUUUUUUUUUUUUUUUUGAGAUACAGUCUCACUCUGUCCCCCAGGCUGAAGUGCAAUGGCGAGAUCUCAGCUCACUGCAACCUCCACUUCCCAAGUUAAAGUGAUCCUCUCACCUCAGUCUCCCAAAGUAGCUAGGACUACAACCGCACGCCACCACGCCCGGCUAAUUUUUGUAUUUUUAGUACAGAUAGGGAUUUGCCAUGUUGGCCAAACUGAUCUCGAUCUCCAGUGAUCCAGUGAACCACUCACUUUGGUGUCCCAAAGUGCUGGGAUUACAGGCAUAUAGUUAUAUAUUUUAAGAUUACAUACAUUCAAUAUUAUGCAUAUUUAAAAUUCCCAAAGACAUUAGUACUCUACAAAACAAUAAGUUUUCCUUAUAUUUACUCCUAAAUUUUUUUAAAUUUAACUUUUAUUUUAGGUUAAGGGGUACAUGUGCAGGUUUGUUCUAUAGCUAAACCUGUGUUUAGGAAUCACCACACUGUCUUCCACAUGGUUGAACUAAUUUACACUCCCACCAACAGUAUAUAAGCGUUCCUUUCCUCCCCAACCUCACCCCCAUCUGUUAUUUUUUGAUUUUUUAAUAGUAGCCAAGCUGACUGGUGUGAGAUAGUAUCUCAUUGUGGCUUUGAUUUGCAUUUAUCUAAUGAUCAGUGAUGUUGAGCUUUUUUUCAUAUGCUUGUUGGCCACAUGUAUGUCCUUUCUAAAAUAGUGUCUGUUCAUGUCCUUUGCCCACUUUGUAAUGGGGUUGUUUGUAUUUUUCUUAUAAAUUUGCUUAAGUUCCUUAUAGAUGCUGGAUAUUUGACCUUUGUCAGAUGCAUAGUUUGCAAAAGUUUUCUCCCAUUCUAUAGGUUGUCUGUUUACUCUGUUGGUAGCUUCCUUUGCUGUGCAGAAGCUCUUUAGUUUAAUUAGAUCCAAUUUGUCGAUUUCUGCUUUUGUUGCAAUUGCUGUUGGUGUCUUCCUCAUGAAAUCUUUGCCUGUUCCUAUGUAUGGAAUGGGUUUUCUAUUUAUUUCUGGGUUCUCUAUUCUGUUCCAUUUGUCUCUGUGUCUGUUUUUGUACCAGUACCAUGCUAUUUUGGUUACCGUAGUAUAGUUUGAAGUCACGUAUUGUGAUGCCUCCAGCUUUGUUCCUUUUGCUUAGGAUUGCUUUGGUUAUUUGGGCUAUUUUUUGGUUUAAUAUGAAUUUUUAAAUAGUUUUUUUCUAGUUCUGCGAAAAAUGAUAGGAACAGCAUUGAAUCUGUAUAUUGUUUUGGGCAGUAUGGCCAUUUUAACAAUAUUGGUUCUUCCUAUCCAUGAGCAUGGAAUGUUUUUCCAAUUGUUUGUGUCAUCUCUGAUUUCUUUGAGCAAGGUUUUGUAGCUCUCCUUGUAGAGAUCUUUCACCUUCCCGGUUAGCUGUAUUCUUAUGUAUUUUAUUUUUGUGGUGGGAAUUGUGAAUGGGAUUGCAUUCCUGAUUUGACUCUUGGCUUGACUGUUGUUGGUGUACAGAAAUGUUAGUGAUUUUCGUACAUUGAUUUUGUGUUCUGAGACUUUGCUAAAGUUGUUCAUCAGCUUAAGAAUGUUUUGGGCUGGGCGCGGUGGCUCAUGCCUGUAAUCCCAGCACAUCAGGAAGCCAAGGCGGGCGGAUCACGAGGUCAGGAGAUCGAGACCAUCCUGGCUAACAUGGUAAAACCCCAUCUCUACUAAAAAUACAAAAAAUUAUCCGGGCGUGUUGGUGGGCACCUGUAGCCCCAGCUACUCGGGAGGCUGGGGCAGGAGAAUGGUGUGAACCUUGGAGGCAGAGCUUGCAGUGAGCCAAGAUUGUGCCACUGCACUCCAGCCUGGGCAACAGAGUGAGACUCUGUCUAUAAAAAAAAAAAGGUUUUGAGUUGAGACUAUAUUCUAGAUGUAGAAUCAUGUCAUCUGCAAACAGGGAUAGUUUGACUUCCUCUUUUCCUAUCUGGAUGCCCUUUAUUUCUUUCUCUUGCCUGAUUGUCCUGGCCAGAACUUCCAAUACUAUGUUGAAUAGGAGUGGUGGGAGAGGGCAUCCUUGUCUUGUGCCAGUUUUCAAGGGGAAUGCUUCCAGCUUUUGCCCAUUCAGUAUCAUGUUGUCUGUGGGUUUGUCAUAGAUGGCUCUUAUUAUUUUGAGGUACGUUCCCUCAAUAACUAGUUUAUUGAGAUUUUUUAAUAUGAAGGAUGAUUGAAUUUUAUCAAAAGCCUUUACAGCAUCUAUUGAGAUAAUCAUGUGGUUUUUGUCUUUAGUUCUGUUUAUGUGAUAAAUCACAUUUACUGAUUUGCAUAUGUUGAACUAACCUUGCAUCCCGGGAAUAAAGCCUACUUGAUCAUGGUGGAUAAGCUUUUUGAUGUGCUGCUGGAUUCAGUUUGCCAGUAUUUUGUUGAGAAUUUUUGCAUUGAUGUUCAUCAAGCAUAUUGACCUGAAGUUUUCUUUUUUUGUUGUGUCUCUGCCAGGUUUUGGUAUGAGGAUGAUCUAAGCCUCAUAGAAUGAGUUAGGGAGGAGUUUCUCCUCCUCAAUUUCUUAGAAUAGUGUAAGCAGGGAUGGUACCAGCUCCUUUUGUAUAUCUGGUAGAAUUCAGCUGUGAAUCUAUCUUGUCCUUGGCUUUUUUGUUGUUGUUAGGCUAUUUAUUCCUGACUCAAUUUCAGAGCUUGUUAUUGGUCUGUUUGGGGAUUCAAUUUCUUCCUGGUUCAGUCUUGGGAGGGUGUAUGUUCGUAGGAAUUUAUCCUUUCUUCUUGUUUUUCUAGUUUAUGUGCAUAUGGGUGUUCAUAAUACUCUCUGAUGGUUGUUUGUAUUUCUGUGGGGUCUGUGGUAAUAUCCCCCUUGUCGUUUCUGAUUCUGUUUAUUUGAAUCUUCUCUCUUUUCUUCUGCAUUAAUCUUGCUAGUGGUCUAUCUAUGUCAUAAAUCUUUUCAGAAAACCAGCUCCUGGAUUCACUGAUCUUUUGAAUGUUUUUUUUUUUUGUCUCAGUUUCCUUUAGUUCAGCUAUGGUUUUGGUUAUUUCCUGUCUUCUGCUAGCUUUGGAAUUUGUUUGCUCUUGGUUCUCUAGUUCUUUUAGUUGUGAUGUGAGGCUGUUGAUUUGAGAGCUUUCUAACUUUUUGAUGUGGACAUUUAAUGCUAUAAAUUUUCCUUUUAACCCUGACUUAGCUGUGUCCCAGAGAUUCUGGUAUGUUGUAUUUUAGUUCUCAUUAGUUUCAAAGAACUUCUGAUUUUUGCCUUAAUUUCAUUACUUACCCAAAUGUCAUUCAGGAGCAGGGUAUUCAAUUUCCAUGUAAUUGUAUAGUUUUCAGUAAAUUUCUUAAUCUUGAUUUCUAAUUUGAUUGCACUAUGGUCUGAGAAUUGUUAUGAUUUCAAUUAUUUUGCAUUUGCUGAGGAGUGUUUUUACUUCUGAUUGUGUGAUCAAUUUUAGAAGAUGUGCCAUGUGACAAAGAGAAAAAUGUAUAUUCUCUUGUUUCUCAGUAAAGAGUCCUGUAGAUAUUUAUCAGGUCCAUUUGAUCCCAUGCUUAGUUCAUGUCCUGAAUAUCUUUGUUAAUUUUCUGUCUUGAUCUGUCUAAUAUUGUCAGUGAGGUGUUAAAGUCUCUUUGAAGAUCUCUAAGAACUUGCUUUAUGAAUCUGGGUGCUCCUGUGUUGGGUGCAUAUAUAUUUAGGAUAGUUAGAUCUUCUUGUUGAAUUGAACCCUUUACCAUUAUAUAAUGCCCUUCUUUGUCUUUUUCAGUCUUUGUUGGUUUAAAAUCUGUUUUGUCUGAAACUAGGAUUGCAACCUCUGCUUUUUUCUGUUUUCCAUUUGCUUGGUAAAUUUUUCUCCAUCCCUUUAUUUUAAGCCUAUGUGUGUUGCUGCAUGUGAGAUGGGUCUCUUGAAGACAGCAUCUCAAAGGGUCUUGUUUCUUACUUUUUUUUUUUUUUUUUUUUGAGACGGAGUCUCUCUCUGUCGCCCAGGCUAGAGUGCAGUGGCAUGAUCUUGGCUCACUGCCAGCUCCACCUCCCGGGUUCAUGCCAUUCUCCUGCCUUAGCCUCCUAAGUAGCUGGGACUACAGGUACCCGCCACCAUGCCCGGCUAAUUUUUUGUAUUUUUAGU